Molecule: ribosomal RNA, 401 nt
Filed under: uncultured bacterium
Lineage: Bacteria
Description: bacterial SSU rRNA
Rfam family: Bacterial small subunit ribosomal RNA
Source: RNAcentral
UCGGGAAUUUUGGGCAAUGGGCGAAAGCCUGACCCAGCAACGCCGCGUGAGGGAUGAAGUAUUUCGGUAUGUAAACCUCGAAAGAAUGGGAAGAAUAAAUGACGGUACCAUUUAUAAGCUCCGGCUAACUACGUGCCAGCAGCCGCGGUAAUACGUAGGGAGCAAGCGUUGUUCGGAUUUACUGGGCGUAAAGGGCGCGUAGGCGGCGCGGUAGGUCACUUGUGAAAUCUCUGAGCUUAACUCAGAACGGCCAAGUGAUACUGCUGUGCUAGAGUGCGGAAGAGGCAACCGGAAUUCUUGGUGUAGCGGUGAAAUGCGUAGAUAUCAAGAGGAACACCUGAGGCGAAGGCGGGUUGCUGGGCCGACACUGACGCUGAUGCGCGAAAGCCAGGGGAGCAAAC